Musa acuminata subsp. malaccensis (wild Malaysian banana) is the source of this 2479-nucleotide non-coding RNA. The record is from RefSeq and is a predicted model, not a curated record. Lineage: Eukaryota; Viridiplantae; Streptophyta; Magnoliopsida; Zingiberales; Musaceae.
CCGUACGCGGGAAAACCUUUUAUUUACUUCUAUUUACACUCGUAGCCUCUACCGAAGCUUCGGCUAUGGCGGCCAUGGCCGAGGACGCAAAGCCCUUACCUCCUUCCUCCGUCCCUCCCCGAAGGCGAGGACGGCAUAUACGGGCUCCUCAUGCCCCUGCAGUGACAGCUCGAGUUCAUCGAGAUCCAGGAGCAACGCUGUCUUCGGUGCACCAGCAAUCGAGAUCUCCUUAAGCCUUCCACCGCCGCUCCUCCGCAUCGUCGACGUCUCCCUCCUCGGCCAAUCCGAGAACCCCGAUGUCAACGAAUCAGAAAAAUGAGGCUGUUCCUACCGAUCACCAUGCCACUUGGUUAUUGCAGGCAAGCGCCAAUAUAAAUCUUGUUGUUCUUCCUUAUUGUUCCUUGGAGACAUUGUCUAGUCUUCUUAAUGGAAGUGGGUCAAGUCAUUUUUCUUUGUCCCAAAGCAUCGACUUCCAAUCCCACUUCAGCUAGUGGAUUGAUAGUCAUGGUCAACGGAAUCCAACCUUUAGGACUGAGACAUGAUCGAUGUCUCAAGCUCAGCUUGUCGGAAAUAUAAGAUUAUUUGUGACAUGAACCGACACUACCGCCAUGUGGAUGCAACCUCCAGCAUGGUCAUGCCAAGAGUGCAAGACUCCCACGCCAUGGCCCGAUCACAAUGACUAUCGACUGAGAACGCACGCGAGCUGCUACGAUGACGAGAGGAAUCAACGAGUCUACUUGUCUUUUCCUUGAGGGAAGAAGGCCUCGGAGGAGAGGAAGGAGCAAGCGAAAGGGGAGGAGAAAGUAAGGGAGAUGGAGAGGGGCACUUCGCCAGGUAGUGGUUGGGCGGUUGUCGAGAACAACGUGCUCUUCUGGCUUCCGCUACAGGUGGCGGCAGAAGCGUGCGUCAGUGGCUGUAGCACUGUAACGUAUCCUUCUUUCCUCUGUCCUUUCCGUUAGAUUUUCGACUUAUCGACGCUGAGAGGACAAGGCGAGGACGCAGCCAUGUGACGAUGAUGUUUGCUUGUCCACAUCCUGUGGUGGAGCUCAUCCUCUUCGUCUUUCGUGAUGAGCAUCCGAUCAAUCCAAUCGAAGGAUGUCGGCAGUCAUUUAUCAAUCUACGUUUCAUGUUCUUUCAAAGCAACACCGAAGUAUUUAAUAACACGGCAUUUGAAUAUUUGAAUCUUUACUUCAUUAUAACGUCAGUAAUUGACUUCAUUCGACAAGAGAAGAAUGAUAUGAGUUACUAUUAGAAUCUGGAUGUACGAAUGGAUGUUUGAAACCUUGAGAAAACAUAGAUGAAGACAAGCAGUAUUCAGCUUAAUUUUAAGCAUUUAAUUUGGUGAAACCAUUGUUAAAAUUGAUUUCAUAGGUCUCGUUCGAUAUGGGGCUUCCCAUCUCCAUCAGGCUUUUGCAGGAAGGGGAGCACAAAGUCAAGCUCAAGGAGGUGGAAGGAGACGUUCUCUCCAAAAUUGGCCAGAAUGAAAGUAGGUCACUGGUGCAGUAAUUUCAUGCUGAAGGAAAGAUGGCAAUUUACAACCGUACCUGCUUCUACCAAAGAUUAAAAGCAUAAUUUCCCGAGACUGGAAAUCAACAGAAAAUAUCAUGACUAUGGUGAAGUAAAUCUAAAAUUGAUGUUGGAAGAGUGCAUUUUUUUUUCAGUCGUGAAAAGUAAUUGAACUGAUGGCUUUAGGCUUGAAUUUAUUUUGAACUGUUGCUGUCUUCAUGAUGUCAUUAGGUUUCAAGUCUCAACUUAUUGGUCUGCUAGUUUCCUAAGUGAGCUCAAGACUGUUUUUGCUGGAGUAAUGGAGGGUAUGUUAAAACCAUCUGAAGAAUGUCCAAUUUCAAAUACUCAGGCAGUACCUCCACAAGUAUUUGAAUCAACCUCUUCAAUAUUAAAGCCUUCAGUGGUGACACCUCUGAAUCGGAUGCUAGAGUUUCCAGCUACAAGCCUUCCUCCUACUAAUCUCUAAAUCGUUGUGUCAUCCUCUUGAAGUUGGACCGGUUGCUGAAUCAAGACUUCUGGGAUCCACAAGCAAUUAGAGCAGUAUAAGCAGCAAAGGAUCAAACCAUAGUUGUCAGUGUCUGGCACUUAAUUUAGCACCAGAUAGAACAGAGAUUGUAAUGUAUUAUUCUCUUAGUAGUCAACUGUAUUGUAAAACUUGUGUUCAGUCAUCAACAAUCUGUUAUGCUAGGGGUUCAGUCUUGGUAUUAUGACCAAGCUGUUCUUUUGCAACAUGAACAAUCAAGGAAGUGAGUUGGGUUGAAGAAAAUGCAGACUCAUGCUGCAAAAAGAUUUGUUCUCUUCAUCUCCAUUUCUCAAGAAAAAUGAAUGAGCAGAAACAGCAAAUGGUAACAACCAAAUGCUGAGUGCUGCUGGCAGAAAGAAGAUGAGACUCUUUUUCCUUCUUCAGCUACAAGUGGGACUUGGCAUGACCUUGCCUACCCUACCAGCCAAAAAGCUGAACCAGAAUUAUGAU